This 465-nucleotide ribosomal RNA is filed under the name uncultured bacterium. RNAcentral's name for it is "partial 16S ribosomal RNA". It matches the Rfam family "Bacterial small subunit ribosomal RNA", at positions 339 to 795 of the family's 1533-position model. The record is from RNAcentral.
CUACGGGCGGCAGCAGUGGGGAAUAUUGGACAAUGGGGGAAACCCUGAUCCAGCAAUGCCGCGUGUGUGAAGAAGGCCUGCGGGUUGUAAAGCACUUUCGGUUGGGAGGACUGCUUCUAGCACUAAUAUUGUUGGAAGUUGACGUUACCUUCAGAAGAAGCACCGGCUAACCCCGUGCCAGCAGCCGCGGUAAUACGGAGGGUGCAAGCGUGAAUCGGAAUUACUGGGCGUAAAGCGCGCGUAGGCGGCUAGAUCAGUCGGGUGUGAAAGCCCCGGGCUUAACCUGGGAACUGCAUCCGAUACUGUCUAGCUUGAGUACAGGAGAGGAGAGUGGAAUUCCACAUGUAGCGGUGAAAUGCGUAGAUAUAUGGAGGAACACCAAUGGCGAAGGCAGCUCUCUGGCCUGAUACUGACGCUGAGGUGCGAAAGCGUGGGGAGCAAACAGGAUUAGAUACCCGCGUAGUC